UUUGAUUAUUUUUGUCUCACAUUGUGAAUUGAAAAUGUUAAAACUUCAGUUGAAGAUAUGCUAAUACCAGUUUGCUCACUUUGCUGGUUUAUAAUUGGCGUUUAAGCUGGGACAGGGAACGAAAGCAGUGCAACCCGCAACACAACGCGGAUCAGAAUCCAAAAGAAAACAAGAAUAAAAUAGAAGAGAGUAACAAUUAAUGGCAGAGAUAGAUUCGUCGUUGCCUUCAGCUUCUCCACCCGCAGAUGCUUCCCCUCAGCCCCUGCCACCGCCGUCAUCGGAAUCCGCACAAUCAUCUUUGGCCUCCCUCGCUGAGAAUCUCCAGCGUUCCGCCAUCGAAUCUGCUCGCACCGUCCACCACAACUCUUCCAACCAUAUCCGCACCUUCCAGGAUUUUUUACCAGAUGCAGUAUCACAGUACAGAGAUUAUGAAAACACUUUUUUCAACAAAGUUAAAGAUGGAGUGGUGGUUGCAAGAGAGAAUCCAGCCUUAGGUGCCGGUUUUGCAAUUUCUGCUGCCCUUCUUCUUAUGCGAGGCCCAAGAAGGUUUUUGUACCGUAAUACACUGGGUCGAUUUCAGAGUGAGGAGGCGCGGUAUGCUACUGUUGAAAAGGGUGUGAGGGACUUGAACAUUUCAGUAGAUUUUAUGAAGAAGGAGAGCAAAAAAUUGCUUGAAAGGGCAGCUCUCGCUGAGAGGGAUAUGAAAUAUGGGCGUACUGAGCUAAUGAGUGCUGGAACCCAAUAUCAACAGCUGGCAAAAUCAUUAUACAAAGUUGAAGCACGAGCGAAUGAUUUGAUGGACAGGCUACGGGAGAUACCCACCCGUGAAGCUCUUGCGCUUCGAGCUGAGGUUGCCUCUCUAGCUUCAAGUUUGAAGAAGCAGAAAUUUGCUGUGGAUAAACGGAUCAUGAAAAUCUCCGAGUUAGGGGUAGCUAUAUGAAUUCAAUAAGCGUGUUUAGGACCUUACUUCGGUGCACAGCCAUCCCUGUUUGUCCCAAUUUUCUUGAACCAAAGCUGCUGUUGAUGGGGGCAGAUUGCUCUACGAAUAAUGCAGAUACUUCUAUUGGACACUGGUUUUUCUUAAAAUAAUUUACGAGUUCUGUGGGAAUCAAGGACGUGGCAAAAGUUGCGUCCGAUCGUUAUUUGAUAGCAAGCACGAGGUUAAAAUUUUUUAACAUGGUUGGUUAAUGGGGUGAAAUCCCCAAAAAUGAGGAUCAUGUGGCAUUUAUGAGAAUAUGGGAUUAAAA
Arachis ipaensis is the source of this 1247-nucleotide non-coding RNA. NCBI's taxonomy places the organism in Eukaryota, Viridiplantae, Streptophyta, Magnoliopsida, Fabales, Fabaceae. The record is from RefSeq and is a predicted model, not a curated record.